This 388-nucleotide ribosomal RNA is filed under the name Macaca fascicularis (crab-eating macaque). RNAcentral's name for it is "partial 12S ribosomal RNA". It matches the Rfam family "Bacterial small subunit ribosomal RNA", at positions 794 to 1383 of the family's 1533-position model. The record is from RNAcentral. Lineage: Eukaryota; Metazoa; Chordata; Mammalia; Primates; Cercopithecidae.
GCUUGGCCCUAAACCUCAGUAGUUAAAUAACAAAACUACUCGCCAGAAUACUACAAGCAACAGCUUAAAACUCAAAGGACUUGACGGUGCUUUACAUCCCCCUAGAGGAGCCUGUUCCGUAAUCGAUAAACCCCGAUCCACCCCACCCUCUCUUGCUCAGCCUAUAUACCGCCAUCUUCAGCAAACCCUAAUGAAGGCCACAAAGUGAGCGCAAACGCCACUGCCGCGAAUACGUUAGGUCAAGGUGUAGCCCAUGAGACGGUAAAAAAUGGGCUACAUUUUCUAUUUCAGAAAACCCACGAAAACCCUUAUGAAACUUAAGGGUCCAAGGAGGAUUUAGCAGUAAAUUAAGAAUAGAGUGCUUAAUUGAACCAGGCCAUAAAGCGCG